UUUCACUGUGAUAUUUUGAAUGCUAACAUCUGUGAGCUUUGUCUCUUCACUGCAUGUUGUUUCCAGAUGUUCAUUCAGCAGCGUCUCUCACAGUGAGUCCUGACAGAGUGCAACACUUCACCUCUGACUCUGUCUCACUGACCUGUGAGGGAAACUUCACUGAGUGGAGAGUGAGGAAGUUCUCUGAGGGCGGCCGACUCUCUGACUGUAGGAGAAUGACUGGAUCCACAUGUAACAUCAACACAUCAAAGUCAGAUACUGGAGUGUACUGGUGUGAGUCUGGAUCAGGAGAGUUCAGCAGUGCAGUCAACAUCACCGUACAGAAUGAUGGUAAUGGUCCUAUCCUGGUGAGUCCUGUUCAUCCUGUGACUGAGGGAGCUUCUGUUAGUCUGAGCUGCAGUUUGAAAACACAAAAAAUACUUUCCAAUGUGUUUUUCUAUCACAAUGACAAACUUAUUCAAAAUGAUCCCCGAGGGGAGCUGAACAUCUCUGCAGUGUCAACGUCUGAUGAAGGUUUCUACAAGUGUCAGUACUCAGGAAGAGAGUCAGCACAGAGCUGGAUGUCAGUUAAAGUAACUGUGUCAGGAGCUGACAGCUCUUCAUCUCCUGUGUGGUUGAUGGUUGGACUGGUU
This is a long non-coding RNA of Oreochromis niloticus (Nile tilapia), 632 nucleotides long. RefSeq lists it as uncharacterized. NCBI's taxonomy places the organism in Eukaryota, Metazoa, Chordata, Actinopteri, Cichliformes, Cichlidae. The transcript is spliced from 3 exons. The record is from RefSeq and is a predicted model, not a curated record.